ACUGCUAUCGAGGUUCGACUAAGCCAUGCGAGUCGAAUGUAGCAAUACAUGGCGAACUGCUCAGUAACACGUGGACAACCUGCCCUUAGGUUGGGUAUAAACCCGGGAAACUGGGUAUAAUACCCGAUAGGUCUCGAUUGCUGGAAUGCAUCGAGAUUUAAAGCUCCGGCGCCUAAGGAUGGGUCUGCGGCCUAUCAGGUAGUAGUGGGUGUAGCGUACCUACUAGCCUACGACGGGUACGGGUUGUGAGAGCAAGAGCCCGGAGAUGGAUUCUGAGACACGAAUCCAGGCCCUACGGGGUGCAGCAGGCGCGAAAACUUUACAAUGCUGGCAACAGCGAUAAGGGAACCUCGAGUGCCAGGUUACAAAUCUGGCUGUCGAGAUGCCUAAAAAGCAUUUCAUAGCAAGGGCCGGGCAAGACCGGUGCCAGCCGCCGCGGUAACACCGGCGGCUCGAGUGGUAACCGUUAUUAUUGGGUCUAAAGGGUCUGUAGCCGGCCGGAUAAGUCUCUUGAGAAAUCUGGCAGCUUAACUGUCAGGCUUUCAGGAGAUACUGUCUGGCUCGAGGCCGGGAGAGGUGAGAGGUACUUCAGGGGUAGGGGUGAAAUCUUGUAAUCCUUGAAGGACCACCAGUGGCGAAGGCGUCUCACCAGAACGGACCUGACGGCAAGGGACGAAAGCUAGGGGCACGAACCGGAUUAGAUACCCGGGUAGUCCUAGCCGUAAACGAUACUCGCUAGGUGUCGGCCACGGUGCGACCGUUGUCGGUGC
RNAcentral lists this ribosomal RNA (770 nucleotides) under uncultured Methanosaeta sp. RNAcentral's name for it is "bacterial SSU rRNA". It matches the Rfam family "Archaeal small subunit ribosomal RNA", at positions 26 to 801 of the family's 1478-position model. The record is from RNAcentral. Lineage: Archaea; Methanobacteriati; Methanobacteriota; Methanomicrobia; Methanotrichales; Methanotrichaceae.